This 504-nucleotide ribosomal RNA is filed under the name uncultured Lactobacillus sp. RNAcentral describes it as "bacterial SSU rRNA". It matches the Rfam family "Bacterial small subunit ribosomal RNA", at positions 348 to 843 of the family's 1533-position model. The record is from RNAcentral. Lineage: Bacteria; Bacillati; Bacillota; Bacilli; Lactobacillales; Lactobacillaceae.
GCAGCAGUAGGGAAUCUUCCACAAUGGACGGAAGUCUGACCGAGCAACGCCGCGUGAGUGAAGAAGGUUUUCGGAUCGUAAAGCUCUGUUGUAAGAGAAGAACGAGUGUGAGAGUGGAAAGUUCACACUGUGACGGUAACUUACCAGAAAGGGACGGCUAACUACGUGCCAGCAGCCGCGGUAAUACGUAGGUCCCGAGCGUUAUCCGGAUUUAUUGGGCGUAAAGCGAGCGCAGGCGGUUAGAUAAGUCUGAAGUUAAAGGCUGUGGCUUAACCAUAGUACGCUUUGGAAACUGUUUAACUUGAGUGCAGAAGGGGAGAGUGGAAUUCCAUGUGUAGCGGUGAAAUGCGUAGAUAUAUGGAGGAACACCGGUGGCGAAAGCGGCUCUCUGGUCUGUAACUGACGCUGAGGCUCGAAAGCGUGGGGAGCAAACAGGAUUAGAUACCCUGGUAGUCCACGCCGUAAACGAUGAGUGCUAGGAGUUUGGGCCGUGUCAAUCACUAG